CCUACGGGGGGCAGCAGUAGAGAAUCUUGCACAAUGAGCGAAAGCUUGAUGCAGCCACGCCGCGUGAGGGACGAAGGCCCUAGGGUCGUAAACCUCUUUCAGUUGGGAAGAAGCGAAAGUGACGGUACCAACAGAAGAAGCUCCGGCUAACUACGUGCCAGCAGCCGCGGUAAUACGUAGGGAGCAAGCGUUGUCCGGAAUCAUUGGGCGUAAAGAGCGUGUAGGCGGUCCAGUAAGUCGGAUGUGAAAUCCAAGGGCUUAACCCUUGAACUGCACCCGAUACUGUUGGACUUGAGGUAGGUAGAGGAGAGUGGAAUUUCUGGUGUAGCGGUGGAAUGCGCAGAUAUCAGAAGGAACACCGAUGGCGAAGGCAGCUCUCUGGGCCUUACCUGACGCUGAGACGCGAAAGCAUGGGUAGCAAACAGGAUUAGAUACCCU
Molecule: ribosomal RNA, 438 nt
Filed under: uncultured Egicoccus sp.
Lineage: Bacteria; Bacillati; Actinomycetota; Nitriliruptoria; Egicoccales; Egicoccaceae
Description: bacterial SSU rRNA
Rfam family: Bacterial small subunit ribosomal RNA
Source: RNAcentral